This 254-nucleotide ribosomal RNA is filed under the name uncultured bacterium. RNAcentral describes it as "partial 16S ribosomal RNA". It matches the Rfam family "Bacterial small subunit ribosomal RNA", at positions 524 to 776 of the family's 1533-position model. The record is from RNAcentral.
UACAGAGGUCUCAAGCGUUGUUCGGAUUCAUUGGGCGUAAAGGGUGCGUAGGUGGCGCCGUAAGUCAGGUGUGAAAUUUCGGAGCUUAACUCCGAAACUGCAUUUGAUACUGCGGUGCUUGAGGACUGGAGAGGAGACUGGAAUUUACGGUGUAGCAGUGAAAUGCGUAGAGAUCGUAAGGAAGACCAGUGGCGAAGGCGGGUCGUCUGGACAGUUCCUGACACUGAGGCACGAAGGCCAGGGGAGCAAACGGG